Molecule: long non-coding RNA, 357 nt
Filed under: Equus caballus (horse)
Lineage: Eukaryota; Metazoa; Chordata; Mammalia; Perissodactyla; Equidae
Description: lncRNA (ENSECAG00000054913.1)
Source: RNAcentral
CAUGGCCCAUUCCUCCAUCUUCAAAGCCAGCGCGGUGGAUAAUCCAGGGUAAUCUCCCUAUCUCAAGGCUCUUAUCAACCCAAGGAGGAAACACAGUAUGAACACAAGUUUUCAGAAAAGAAACUUAAGAGCCUGUUGGUGAUCAAAGGGGGACUAGGACUCAGGUUUCUGCUGGAUCCUGUUGUCUCCGUUGCUCUUGCUCCAGACUCUAAUCCAAGGUAGAGUGAGAAAAAUAGCCACUGUGACUGAGGAAUAUUGCUUUAACUUGAAAUGUUUCCCUCAAGCUGUUUCUUAAAUUGUUCUGAAAACUCGGCCUGAACAUUGAAAAUGAUCCAUAAAGGUGAAGCUUAUAUCUAG